UUAAGUCCAUUCGGGUUUUGUUUGCAACAGUUGCAUAUCAUGACUAUAGGUUAAGAGAAGUCUCUUGGAGCUGAAAUCUUAGAUUUGAUGAAAAGUCAAAGUGUUUGAUUUUAUCAAAUUUGAAAAUGAAUUGUGUGUUUACAAGAAGAUAGUGGGAGCAUUUUUCGUAUUCCUAAAACGACAUCCCUAUAUUUCAAUCGUUGAAAUAAUG
RNAcentral lists this long non-coding RNA (211 nucleotides) under Olea europaea (common olive). RNAcentral's name for it is "long non-coding RNA (OEUR_LNC013680)". The record is from RNAcentral. Lineage: Eukaryota; Viridiplantae; Streptophyta; Magnoliopsida; Lamiales; Oleaceae.